Erigeron canadensis is the source of this 88-nucleotide small nucleolar RNA. RefSeq annotates it as small nucleolar RNA snoR116. The transcript has a single exon. The record is from RefSeq and is a predicted model, not a curated record. Lineage: Eukaryota; Viridiplantae; Streptophyta; Magnoliopsida; Asterales; Asteraceae.
AGGCUAUGAUGACUAAAAAAACAUACCAUCAAACUCUGAAAGCUCAUACAGCUUCUUUGAUGAGUUUUUUAACAUUAAUACUGAGCCU